RNAcentral lists this ribosomal RNA (490 nucleotides) under uncultured bacterium. RNAcentral's name for it is "partial 16S ribosomal RNA". It matches the Rfam family "Bacterial small subunit ribosomal RNA", at positions 30 to 507 of the family's 1533-position model. The record is from RNAcentral.
AUUGAACGCUGGCGGCAGGCCUAACACAUGCGAGUCGAACGGUAACAGGAAGAAGCUUGCUUCUUUGCUGACGAGUGGCGGACGGGUGAGUAAUGUCUGGGAAACUGCCUGAUGGAGGGGGAUAACUACUGGAAACGGUAGCUAAUACCGCAUAACGUCGCAAGACCAAAAAGGGGGACCUUCGGGCCUCUUGCCAUCGGAUGUGCCCAGAUGGGAUUAGCUAGUAGGUGGGGUAACGGCUCACCUAGGCGACGAUCCCUAGCUGGUCUGAGAGGAUGACCAGCCACACUGGGACUGAGACACGGUCCAGACUCCUACGGGAGGCAGCAGUGGGGAAUAUUGCACAAUGGGCGCAAGCCUGAUGCAGCCAUGCCGCGUGUAUGAAGAAGGCCUUCGGGUUGUAAAGUACUUUCAGCGGGGAGGAAGGGAGUAAAGUUAAUACCUUUGCUCAUUGACGUUACCCGCAGAAGAAGCACCGGCUAACUCCGUG